Molecule: ribosomal RNA, 743 nt
Filed under: uncultured bacterium
Lineage: Bacteria
Description: bacterial SSU rRNA
Rfam family: Bacterial small subunit ribosomal RNA
Source: RNAcentral
AGUGGCGAACUGGUGAGUAACACGUGGGAAACCUGCCCAGAAGCGGGGGAUAACACCUGGAAACAGAUGCUAAUACCGCAUAACAACUUGGACCGCAUGGUCCGAGUUUGAAAGAUGGCUUCGGCUAUCACUUCUGGAUGGUCCCGCGGCGUAUUAGCUAGAUGGUGAGGUAACGGCUCACCAUGGCAAUGAUACGUAGCCGACCUGAGAGGGUAAUCGGCCACAUUGGGACUGAGACACGGCCCAAACUCCUACGGGAGGCAGCAGUAGGGAAUCUUCCACAAUGGACGAAAGCCUGAUGGAGCAACGCCGCGUGAGUGAAGAAGGGUUUCGGCUCGUAAAACUCUGUUGUUAAAGAAGAACAUAUCUGAGAGUAACUGUUCAGGUAUUGACGGUAUUUAACCAGAAAGCCACGGCUAACUACGUGCCAGCAGCCGCGGUAAUACGUAGGUGGCAAGCGUUGUCCGGAUUUAUUGGGCGUAAAGCGAGCGCAGGCGGUUUUUUAAGUCUGAUGUGAAAGCCUUCGGCUCAACCGAAGAAGUGCAUCGGAAACUGGGAAACUUGAGUGCAGAAGAGGACAGUGGAACUCCAUGUGUAGCGGUGAAAUGCGUAGAUAUAUGGAAGAACACCAGUGGCGAAGGCGGCUGUCUGGUCUGUAACUGACGCUGAGGCUCGAAAGUAUGGGUAGCAAACAGGAUUAGAUACCCUGGUAGUCCAUACCGUAAACGAUGAAUGCUAAGUGU